UUUCCCCCUCCUUAAUGGC
RNAcentral lists this transfer RNA (19 nucleotides) under Acrocephalus atyphus (Tuamotu reed-warbler). Its description in RNAcentral is "partial tRNA-Lys". Lineage: Eukaryota; Metazoa; Chordata; Aves; Passeriformes; Sylviidae. The record is from RNAcentral.